UACCUGCAGCUCGAGUGGUAACCGCUAUUAUUGGGCCUAAAGCGUCCGUAGCCGGUUUGGUAAAUAUCUGGGUAAAUCGUGAGGCUUAACCUCACGAAUUUCGGAUAGACUGCCAGACUUGGGAUCGGGGGAGGUCAGAGGUACUCCAGGGGUAGCGGUGAAAUGUUGUAAUCCUUGGAGGACCACCGGUAGCGAAGGCGUCUGACUAGAACGAGUCCGACGGUGAGGGACGAAGCCCUGGGGCGCAAACCGGAUUAGAUACCCGGGUAGUCCAGGGUGUAAACGAUGUGGGCUUUGUAUUGGAGGUCCCACGUGGGCGUCCAGUGCAGAAGGGAGAAGUUGUUAAGCCCACCGCCUGGGAAGUACGGUCGCAAGGCUGAAACUUAAAGGAAUUGGCGGGGGAGCACAGCAACGGGAGGAGCGUGCGGUUU
This 431-nucleotide ribosomal RNA is filed under the name uncultured archaeon. RNAcentral's name for it is "bacterial SSU rRNA". It matches the Rfam family "Archaeal small subunit ribosomal RNA", at positions 474 to 903 of the family's 1478-position model. The record is from RNAcentral.